ACACGCAGGUGGACCUGAGCCAGGGAUGGGAUGACGCUGCCCAGAGCCCCCAGCAUGACCUGGGGUCCUCUCCAGACCUCUUCCCACAUCCCCACAGGACCCCUUGUUGGCAUCCAGGACUCUCCAUCCCCUUGCCUUCCCAUCACCUCCCUCAGAGCCUGUCAAUCACUCCCAGAUACUCCCACUGCCCUGCAAGAGAGAUGGCAGGGAAAAGGAGGUCAAGUAAAGAGUAGCCCAGGUGUCCUGGAGCCCUGCUGCUCAGGGAUGGUCCACAGACCAGUGGCAUCAGUAUUGCCUUGGGAGCAUGUAAAAUGCAGAUUCCCAGCUCCUCCCCCCACCAGCGGAGCUGAGUCAAAUCUCAAAAUCUGCGGGCCUGGGAAUCCACAGGCUUACUAGCUCUCCAGGUGAAUUGAGGCUGGUUAAAGUUUAAGAACUCCUGCCCUAGAGGAUCCAGCAGGGCUGUUCCCCAAUAACCACUACUUUCCUCAACUCCAGUGGAUGCCAAUCUGGGUUUUUUAACAGAGAUAGGGCCAUGUGCGCCCCUGCUGGAAGGUACAGAUAAUGAGCAUCCCCUUGAAAAAUGUUGACCGUCAGGUCUGUGGUAUAGAUUCACCCAAAUCUACCCAUCCCUCAUCUGACCUUCAAUAAAUAAACAGUCUUAACUGGAAGUCCAGAAAAAAAAUGGUUGUCCAGGAAAUGGCUUUGCACUAGGUGUUGAGAGACUGAUAUCAAAGCUAACCCCCGCAUUGCGGUACAGUAACUUUGGAAAACCCUGCUCACAGAGCCUCAUUUUCCCUUGUUAACAGAGGCAGACUUCGAGGGCCAACAGGACUGAGUCGACCAUUUUAUGCUGUGUCUCCACCUGGACAGAUGAACAGUUCCAAGGUCACAUGGACCUAGAGGCUGCCCAGGAGUGCCUUCCAGCUUUCAAGUGGUACUUGGCUGCAAGUUUCUCAUCAUCGGUGAAGAUGGCAUGCAGCCCCAGUGGCGGGUGCCCUGAGCAGAAAAGAGAAGACUGUGAAGCCCCCACAGCCUGGAGUAAACGUCUGUCCCACAUCAGACCUGCCCAGUCCAGGGCUGGAAAAGAACUCCGGCCUGGAGAGAAAACAGUUCAAGAAGCCUGACAGAUAUCCAGGGUAAGAAGUCAAGUGCGCAGUUGGAUCAGCUGGUUUGUGGCUGAAAGGAGAGGGCCUAGCUGGAGACAGAACUUGGGAUGCCAGGGGCUCAGAUGAGAUCACAUACGGUAAUGCCAGAUCUGUGUCCAAACCCAUGGGAUUAAAUUGACAUUAAAAUAAAAUUUAAUAAAAUAUUCAGUUCUUCACUU
This is a long non-coding RNA of Marmota monax (woodchuck), 1324 nucleotides long. RefSeq lists it as uncharacterized. Lineage: Eukaryota; Metazoa; Chordata; Mammalia; Rodentia; Sciuridae. The record is from RefSeq and is a predicted model, not a curated record. The transcript has 3 exons.